UACGGAGGGUGCGAGCGUUGUUCGGAAUCACUGGGCGUAAAGGGCGUGUAGGCGGUCUGUUAAGUCUGAUGUGAAAGCCCGGGGCUCACCCCCGGAAGUGCAUUGGAUACUGGCGGACUCGAGUCUCGGAGAGGAGGGUGGAAUUCCUGGUGUAGCGGUGAAAUGCGUAGAUAUCAGGAGGAACACCGGUGGCGAAGGCGGCCCUCUGGACGAUGACUGACGCCGAGACGCGAAAGCGUGGGGAGCAAACAGG
RNAcentral lists this ribosomal RNA (253 nucleotides) under uncultured bacterium. Its description in RNAcentral is "partial 16S ribosomal RNA". It matches the Rfam family "Bacterial small subunit ribosomal RNA", at positions 524 to 776 of the family's 1533-position model. The record is from RNAcentral.